This 852-nucleotide ribosomal RNA is filed under the name Wolbachia endosymbiont of Lixus maculatus. RNAcentral's name for it is "bacterial SSU rRNA". It matches the Rfam family "Bacterial small subunit ribosomal RNA", at positions 93 to 983 of the family's 1533-position model. The record is from RNAcentral. Lineage: Bacteria; Pseudomonadati; Pseudomonadota; Alphaproteobacteria; Rickettsiales; Anaplasmataceae.
UAGUGGCAGACGGGUGAGUAAUAUAUAGGAAUCUACCUAGUAGUACGGAAUAAUUGUUGGAAACGGCAACUAAUACCGUAUACGCCCUACGGGGGAAAAAUUUAUUGCUAUUAGAUGAGCCUAUAUUAGAUUAGCUAGUUGGUGGGGUAAUAGCCUACCAAGGCAAUGAUCUAUAGCUGAUCUGAGAGGAUGAUCAGCCACACUGGAACUGAGAUACGGUCCAGACUCCUACGAGAGGCAGCAGUGGGGAAUAUUGGACAAUGGGCGAAAGCCUGAUCCAGCCAUGCCGCAUGAGUGAAGAAGGCCUUUGGGUUGUAAAGCUCUUUUAGUGAGGAAGAUAAUGACGGUACUCACAGAAGAAGUCCUGGCUAACUCCGUGCCAGCAGCCGCGGUAAUACGGAGAGGGCUAGCGUUAUUCGGAAUUAUUGGGCGUAAAGGGCGCGUAGGCUGGUUAGUAAGUUAAAAGUGAAAUCCCGAGGCUUAACCUUGGAACUGCUUUUAAAACUGCUAACCUAGAGAUUGAAAGAGGAUAGAGGAAUUCCUAGUGUAGAGGUGAAAUUCGUAAAUAUUAGGAGGAACACCAGUGGCGAAGGCGUCUAUCUGGUUCAAAUCUGACGCUGAGGCGCGAAGGCGUGGGGAGCAAACAGGAUUAGAUACCCUGGUAGUCCACGCUGUAAACGAUGAAUGUUAAAUAUGGGAAGUUUACUUUCUGUAUUACAGCUAACGCGUUAAACAUUCCGCCUGGGGACUACGGUCGCAAGAUUAAAACUCAAAGGAAUUGACGGGGACCCGCACAAGCGGUGGAGCAUGUGGUUUAAUUCGAUGCAACGCGAAAAACCUUACCACUCCUUG